UACGGAGACUACGAGCGUUACUCGGAUUCACUGGGCGUAAAGGGAGCGCAGGCGGGCUGGUGUGUUAUGUGUGAAAUGCCGGGGCUUAACUCCGGAGCUGCGCGUAAAACUAUCAGUCUUGAGACUUGGAGGGGUAAGCGGAAUUUCCGGUGUAGCGGUAAAAUGCGUAGAUAUCGGAAGGAACACCGAAGGCGAAGGCAGCUUACUGGACAAGGUCUGACGCUCAAGCUCGAAAGCGUGGGGAGCGAAA
Molecule: ribosomal RNA, 250 nt
Filed under: uncultured prokaryote
Description: partial 16S ribosomal RNA
Rfam family: Bacterial small subunit ribosomal RNA
Source: RNAcentral